GCAAACUUGGUCAUUUAGAGGAAGUAAAAGUCGUAACAAGGUUUCCGUAGGUGAACCUGCGGAAGGAUCAUUAUAGAAUUGUUCGAAUUCCAUACGGACGAUUUUCUAAAAAUCCGUAUCCACACCGGUAGGGCUGGCCUGAGCAAUCAGUCGGCCCUUGCCGUAGGGUUCCUUUUCUUUUUCUUCGGGAAAAGAACUGGUUCCUGUCUGACCCAUGCCUAUAAUUUUUUAUUGUCUGAACUUUUAUAUAAAAUAUAUAAAAACUAAAACAACUUUCAACAACGGAUCUCUUGGCUCUCGCAUCGAUGAAGAACGCAGC
This 319-nucleotide unclassified non-coding RNA is filed under the name uncultured fungus. RNAcentral's name for it is "partial contains small subunit ribosomal RNA, internal transcribed spacer 1, and 5.8S ribosomal RNA". The stretch from base 1 to 73 matches the Rfam family "Eukaryotic small subunit ribosomal RNA", at positions 1759 to 1831 of the family's 1831-position model. The record is from RNAcentral. Lineage: Eukaryota; Fungi.